Non-coding RNA from Podarcis muralis (Common wall lizard), 405 nucleotides. The record is from the annotation of a RefSeq genome assembly. Lineage: Eukaryota; Metazoa; Chordata; Lepidosauria; Squamata; Lacertidae.
AUGCCGUUCUUUUUAGGUGCCCAGGCUGGAGUCCUGCUGGUUGAGUCUGGAGGGGAUGUCAAGAGACCUGGGGAGUCCCUCCACCUCUCCUGUCAAGCCUCUGGCUUCACCUUCAGCAGCUACUACAUGACAUGGGUGAGGCAGGCUCCUGGAAAGGGCCUGGAAUGGGUGGGAGACAUAAAUAGAGAUUCAUCUGCCAAACGCUACUCGGAUAAAGUCAAGGGACGGUUCACCAUCUCCAGGGACAAUUCCAACAGCCUCCUCUAUCUGCAAAUGAACAACCUGAAACCAGAGGACACGGCUGUGUAUUACUGUGCAAGAGACACAGUGAGAGGAAGUGACUCCGCAGCCAAGCAAAAACCCACCAAUGCCCACAGACGCUCUCUGAGAUAUUUGUCCCCGUGA